Gadus macrocephalus (Pacific cod) is the source of this 439-nucleotide long non-coding RNA. RefSeq lists it as uncharacterized. The transcript has 3 exons. Lineage: Eukaryota; Metazoa; Chordata; Actinopteri; Gadiformes; Gadidae. The record is from RefSeq and is a predicted model, not a curated record.
GGAGGAGUUUCUCCGCUCAGCACCAAGACCAACGACAACACCAAUACCAACACCAACACCAAGACCAAGACCAAGACCAGAACCAACACUAUCACCAGCACCAACAGCAGUUCCACCACCAGCAACAGAAGACCCAUCACCAGCUCCAGGUCCAUCAUCAGCAUCAGCAACAGAGGCCCUGGGCCACUCUGUCAUUCCAAAAGGACUUGUGGAGCGCUGCUCCUUCCAAAGCCCCCAGAAGUUCAUAAAUGAUCUCCUACAUGGGAUGUAUACCAGGGAAUAUAUGGCAGGCCAUUCAGUGACUGGCCAGUCAUCCAGCAGCUGCACAGAAGGAAAACCUGACCUAGCCAAACAGGACCUUGUUGAAAUAACAAAUGCUGCAAAGUUGAAGUUCACCUACGUAACUGAUACGAACAUAAAAGCAUAUAUACGACAAAAG